UAUUUUCAAAGAUGAUAUAAAUGUCAAAUGAUAGAAAUAUAAAAUUAAGUCCAAUGGAGGAUCCAGGGGGUCUGGUGGUUAGAACCUCCAUUUUUGGACGAUCAAUACAUUUGAAUGGGGACAUAUGGUUGGAAACCUCCCCCUUUUAUCCUUGGUUGGGAUCCUGUCCCUUUUAUUAAAAUGGCUGGAUCCACCCCUGAAGUCAAAUUACAAGACAGUUUUAGUUUGAACGUACUAUUAGAAAUUGAAUAUAUGAAAUUCGUUUUGUUAACACACCAAAUAUUUUUUUUCAAUUUCGAGAUCUUAUUAAUAGGAAGAACUGAUCUGAACUAUCAGUUUUAUCAAUUUUAAACGAAUAUUUAAUGCAUGUCUAGAAUCUCCAG
This 383-nucleotide long non-coding RNA is filed under the name Mytilus galloprovincialis (Mediterranean mussel). The record is from RNAcentral. Lineage: Eukaryota; Metazoa; Mollusca; Bivalvia; Mytilida; Mytilidae.